GUAGGUGAACCUGCGGAAGGAUCAUUAACACGUAUCCAACGUUAAACAACCCUGUGAACCUUGAACGUGCUCUCGUACACGCUCUAGCAGCAAUCCCUGGUAAAUCAUUGUUGACCAGCUAUUGAGUCUGGGACUUCUGCUAUAUCUUGGUUCUU
RNAcentral lists this unclassified non-coding RNA (155 nucleotides) under rhizosphere metagenome. RNAcentral describes it as "partial ribosomal RNA internal transcribed spacer region". The record is from RNAcentral.